AUUGAACGCUAGCGGGAUGCUUUACACAUGCAAGUCGAACGGCAGCACGAGGAGCUUGCUCCUUGGUGGCGAGUGGCGAACGGGUGAGUAAUAUAUCGGAACAUGCCCAGUAGCGGGGGAUAACUACUCGAAAGAGUGGCUAAUACCGCAUACGUCCUACGGGAGAAAGCAGGGGACCUUCGGGCCUUGCACUAUUGGAGUGGCCGAUAUCGGAUUAGCUAGUUGGUGGGGUAAAGGCCUACCAAGGCGACGAUCCGUAGCUGGUUUGAGAGGACGACCAGCCACACUGGGACUGAGACACGGCCCAGACUCCUACGGGAGGCAGCAGUGGGGAAUUUUGGACAAUGGGGGAAACCCUGAUCCAGCCAUCCCGCGUGUGCGAUGAAGGCCUUCGGGUUGUAAAGCACUUUUGUCAGGAAAGAAAUCGCCCGGGAUAAUACCUCGGGUGGAUGACGGUACCUGAAGAAUAAGCACCGGCUAACUACGUGCCAGCAGCCGCGGUAAU
This 505-nucleotide ribosomal RNA is filed under the name Alcaligenes sp. OS2. RNAcentral's name for it is "bacterial SSU rRNA". It matches the Rfam family "Bacterial small subunit ribosomal RNA", at positions 30 to 524 of the family's 1533-position model. Lineage: Bacteria; Pseudomonadati; Pseudomonadota; Betaproteobacteria; Burkholderiales; Alcaligenaceae. The record is from RNAcentral.